CCUACGGGAGGCAGCAGUGGGGAAUAUUGCACAAUGGGGGAAACCCUGAUGCAGCGAAGCCGCGUGAGUGAAGAAGUAAUUCGUUAUGUAAAGCUCUAUCAGCAGGGAAGAAAAUGACGGUACCUGAGUAAGAAGCCCCGGCUAACUACGUGCAAGCAGCCGCGGUAAUACGUAGGGGGCAAGCGUUAUACGGAUUUACUGGGUGUAAAGGGAGCGUAGACGGCAGUGCAAGUCUGGAGUGAAAGGCGGGGGCUCAACCCCCGGACUGCUUUUGAAACUGUACGUCUUGAGUGCAGGAGAGGUAAGUGGAAUUCCUAGUGUAGCGGUGAAAUGCGUAGAUAUUAGGAAGAACACCAGUUGCGAAGGCGGCUUACUGGACUGUAACUGACGUUGAGGCUCGAAAGCGUGGGGAGCAAACAGGAUUAGAUACCCCGGUAGUC
This 440-nucleotide ribosomal RNA is filed under the name uncultured bacterium. Its description in RNAcentral is "partial 16S ribosomal RNA". It matches the Rfam family "Bacterial small subunit ribosomal RNA", at positions 338 to 795 of the family's 1533-position model. The record is from RNAcentral.